AAAUUAACAAAAAUCCUAAAGUUUGCAUACCCAAGUGGUCGGUCUAAACAUGCUCUUUGCGGGUAAGUGAUAAAAUAAAUAAAGUAAAACUAAGAAGAACAAUUCAGCAUAUGCUUCUUUGUUUAAUUUCUAAUUAUGAAGAACGACGUGAAUUAAAUACUAAUGAGCUCGAUUUUUCCCUGUCCCCCAAUUCAUCUUAACCCAUAUGCAUUCAAGCAAUUUCAAUGUCCAACCAAAAAUACUAGGCCGUUAUCACGUAAUUCAAUUAUAACGCAUGAAAAUUAACAACACACAUAACAAAUAGGAGGGGACGAGAUGGACCUGCAAAUUGGAGUUUAUAUCGAUAAGAAAUUUCAGUAGUUACACGAGCAAAUGAACCCAACUGCUACGACCAAAGUCGAAAUGGUAGUCAGACUCGAUUUGAAACCACGAACCACAAUUCAAACCCUCGACGGACAAUGACGACCUCAAACCGACCUCGGAUUAAACUAAAACCAACAAACAACAGAGUAACGACUACCAAACAAGGGCCUAAAGAAGAAGAAUGAUGUUCGGCUUCCAAACAAACGAAAAAUCAGCAACGGAAACAUCAAAAAGAGCUAAAAUUCCAGCAACAGCCUUGAUUUUAAACCCAAAAGAAACUGAAAACCCAGAACUAAUUUCAAACUAUUUUCAUUUUUUCUCGUUCCCAGAUUCUGUCCCGUUUUCCUGAUCCCUGCCUCUGUUUUUUUGAUAAUGUGCAUGUGUGUGUGUGUUAACGGGAGACGAGGGAACUUGGAGGAGUCGUUGGUCCGUUGAGGGUGUUCGCCGACGAUUUUGAAAGGUGAAGAAGGUGAGGUCGCAACUGAUUUGGUUCUGUUGUUGGGCGUGGAGGAUAUGGAGAUCAGGGGUCGUUGGUUGAAGAGUGACCGACGACGAGAAUGAUGGUGUGACGCUAAUUUCCGGCGGUUUUCUUUGGUAAGGGAGGUGUUCAGUUGAAUAUGGAGAUGGAGAGCAGGGUCGUUCGUUGGGAUUGCUCUCUUCUCGUUGGUGUUUUUGAAGUGAGGGAGCGGCAGAUUUUGAGAGGAGGGAGUGGGGUGAUGGCUGGAAAAUGGGGUUCUAGGGUUUUUUGUUGUAGUGUCUAGAUGAAGAAGAAGAAGAAGAAGGCAGCCAUGGGUGUCCUCUGAGUUCUGCGGCUGGUCUCUUCUUUUUUGGGUAAGGAUUGUUUUUAGGUUUUUUUUUAAAUGUGAGAUCAAGGGGUCUUUAGUUGGGGGUAUGGGCUUAUGGGUUAGAGAAGAAAGAAAUUAGGCUUGGCCAAAUUUUUGGGCCAACUUUUGUCUAAAGAAUGACCGUCUCUUGGACCUUCUUUUGAUUUUAAAACCAAAACCAUGUCAUCUUAAAAUUAAUUUGGUUUUUGUUCUUAGAAAAGAACAAAUUAAAAAUACAACUAUUACUAAUUUAUGCUAGUUAAGUAAAUAAUUAUAAUGCAAAAAUACUAAAGUUACACAUUGAGGUAACAAAUAAAAUUAUUUUUGUAUUUUUAAAUUUUAUAAAAGGUAAAUAAAUUGAAAGUAACAAGAUAAAAUAUCAAUUACCUAAAAAAAGAAAAUAUUUUUUUUGUAAUUUUUAUUUUGUGACAAAUGAAGUAAAAGAGUCACAGCUAAUUGAAAUAGCGAUAUUAGGCCUAAACUAAAUAUUUAAAUACUAAAAUAUGUAAUAUCUUGGGGAGGGUCAAAAAUCACAUGUCUACACUUACUAAGUACCGUUGUGGUGUACUCAUGCCCCUUCUACGCAUGUUUUUCAUGUGCAGAUCCAGGUACUACGACUCAGUCCUAUCACCCUUGAGGCGAGGCGACUGCUCCGGCGACUUCGAGGUAUAUCUGCCGCGUCCGCAAACCGAGGAGUCCCUUUCUAUUCUAGCUUUUAAACAUUUACCCUUCUGUAUUUCUUUUCCUUGUUAGAUGUUCUAGAGUUAGAGUACUGUGUAGUGAUCCUUAGCUUGUGAUUCAUGAAUUUCUGGGUCUUGGAAGUAUGUAUUGGUUUGAGCGUUAAAUAUUGUGUAUGCCGAACGACACUUUUAAAUACUGUUUUAUCAUUCUUCAUUCUGUUUUAAUUUGUUUUUAUUCCGUACUUGGUUUAUCUUCCGCAAUUUAGGUUUACUUAGUCGUAGAAGACUAGGUGCCAUCAUGAUGAUUCACGAAGAGUGAACCGGGGUUGUGACAACCAAUAUACUGCUUAUUCCGUUGGAUUUCUCCUUAUCUCAUUUAACUUUGUUAAAAAAAAAAGUUAAUAAAAGUUAGAUAAAUUUGGCGAGGUAAAAGGAUUAGUCCUAGAAAAUCUGGAGUCAUCUACAAAAUAUAUCCAUAAUCUUUCGUAUUCCAGAUUCAGUUUAUUUUAUCUCAAUCCAAAGAACUACCUUAUAUUCUUACUCUUGUCACCUUUUAUAUAUUCCUAUAUUCACUUGUUCCUUUAUUUUAGAGCCCGUUUGGCUUAGCUGAUUUAUAGUAGGUGAUAAACAUUAAGUGCUGAAAAUUAUUUUUAAGUGCUAAAGCUGAUUUAAAAAAUAAGCAGUUACGUGCUUGGAUAAAAGUGCUGAAAUUAAUAAUAAGCAAGAACUGAGUGUACGAAGAGUUUGUUUUAAAAAUAAGUAUUUUAGGGAUAGAAUAUUAAAUAUUUUGGUCAAACCUAAAGUGCUUAUAAGCUGAAAUUUGAUAAGUUGGGGGAGACCAACUUAUGACUUUUGACUUAUUUUUGGCUUAUAAGCACUUAACUUAUAAGCACUUUUAAUUUUACCAAACGCAUAGAUAAGCCAAAAAGUGCUUAUAAGCCAAUUUAACAAGCUUAUAACCUUAGCCAAACACCCUC
This 2844-nucleotide long non-coding RNA is filed under the name Nicotiana tabacum (common tobacco). Its description in RNAcentral is "long non-coding RNA (NTAB_LNC003535)". Lineage: Eukaryota; Viridiplantae; Streptophyta; Magnoliopsida; Solanales; Solanaceae. The record is from RNAcentral.